This 73-nucleotide transfer RNA is filed under the name Neotoma lepida (desert woodrat). It matches the Rfam family "tRNA". From Rfam's summary of the family: Transfer RNA (tRNA) molecules are approximately 80 nucleotides in length. Their secondary structure includes four short double-helical elements and three loops (D, anti-codon, and T loops). Further hydrogen bonds mediate the characteristic L-shaped molecular structure. tRNAs have two regions of fundamental functional importance: the anti-codon, which is responsible for specific mRNA codon recognition, and the 3' end, to which the tRNAs corresponding amino acid is attached (by aminoacyl-tRNA synthetases). tRNAs cope with the degeneracy of the genetic code in two manners: having more than one tRNA (with a specific anti-codon) for a particular amino acid; and 'wobble' base-pairing, i.e. permitting non-standard base-pairing at the 3rd anti-codon position. The record is from Rfam by way of RNAcentral. Lineage: Eukaryota; Metazoa; Chordata; Mammalia; Rodentia; Cricetidae.
AGGGGUGUAGCUUAGUGAGCAGAGUGCUUGCUUGGCAUGUAGAAGGCCCUGGGUUUGAUCCCCAGCACCACAU